RNAcentral lists this ribosomal RNA (442 nucleotides) under uncultured Oscillospiraceae bacterium. RNAcentral's name for it is "bacterial SSU rRNA". It matches the Rfam family "Bacterial small subunit ribosomal RNA", at positions 338 to 795 of the family's 1533-position model. Lineage: Bacteria; Bacillati; Bacillota; Clostridia; Eubacteriales; Oscillospiraceae. The record is from RNAcentral.
CCUACGGGCGGCUGCAGUGGGGAAUAUUGGGCAAUGGGCGCAAGCCUGACCCAGCAACGCCGCGUGAAGGAAGAAGGCUUUCGGGUUGUAAACUUCUUUUAGCAGGGACGAAGACGUGACGGUACCUGCAGAAUAAGCUCCGGCUAACUACGUGCCAGCAGCCGCGGUAAUACGUAGGGAGCAAGCGUUAUCCGGAUUUACUGGGUGUAAAGGGCGCGUAGGCGGGUCUGCAAGUCAGAUGUGAAAUCUGGGGGCUCAACCCCCAAACUGCAUUUGAAACUGUGGUUCUUGAGUGCUGGAGAGGCAAGUGGAAUUCCUAGUGUAGCGGUGAAAUGCGUAGAUAUUAGGAGGAACACCAGUGGCGAAGGCGACUUGCUGGACAUUAACUGACGCUGAGGCGCGAAAGCGUGGGGAGCAAACAGGCUUAGAUACCCCUGUAGUC